GGGUGAGUUUAUUGUAUUAUGUUGAUGCAUGCAUAUCCCGGUGUUCAAUUAAGAAUGUCAACCCAACUCUCUACGCUAAUUGUAUUUUACUGUUUAGAGAGCUGUUUUAUGUGAUGUUCAAGCAUCUGAUGAUAUAGACUUGUGCAGGCCCAGAAUGAGUACAAGGCUGUUGUGGGAGAAGUAAACUAUGGGUCGGAUGACAACCAGAAUUGCCAAUUGACCAAACUGCGAAUUGUCAAAAUAACCGGCAUCUUUGGUGUCAAAGCUGAACUAGAUUUCAUCAGGUUUUUGCUUUCAAGUUCACCUGUGCUUGAGAAGAUGACUGUGAAGCCUGCUGCUGCUAAUAAUUUUGAAGUAAAAAUGUUGCUCCAAAAGUUGCUCCAGUUUAAGCGUGUCUCGGCGAAUGCAGAGAUAUUCUACUUAGACCCUUGAUUCAUCAAUGAAACAUGUUUGGCAGAUACGAUACGAGGACUUGCCGGCAGAAACUGAAUGCGGGUUUUGAUAGUUUGGUACAAUUAUCUGCUAUGUAUGUGUCUUAUGUUUUGUCAAACGACGCCAAUAGAUAUCUCUUUUAUUCUUUUCCUAAUCUCAUGUUCAACUUGGACUAUGAUAUUAAAUUUUGACCCUAAGAUGUAUGAUGAAAUGUCUCGAGUACAAGAGAAGACUAAUUUGGAAGUACUUUUGGAAUGAAUUAAAAGCGCUUACAGAUGGCAAGAAGUGUUUUUGGCAACAUUUUGUUAAAAAAGGUUGAAAGUUAUUAAUGGAGAAGGGCCGCAUACGGUGGUUGUACGCAAGAACCUCUCCUGGAGUUGCUAAAUGAACAAUUCGCGGUUGUACAACGGGACUAAACUGAUCUCAUUUCUAACAUAUGGAGUUUUACAUAUUACAAGUCAUCAAAAUUUAUCGCUCAGUUGCUAGACCAAUAAAUUUCUUUAGAAUUUGUUGUUGAAUUAACUUCCGUAAGGUAGUCCAAGUCUUCCAAGGCUUUGUCAAGGGACUCCGCCAUAUCUGCCUCCCAUAAGCCUAACCUGCAGACUUUCUUGUAAGUUUCGUAACUUGAUGCCCUUAUGCCCUCCGAAGCGAUCUCCAUUAAAGAGUCACAAAUCUCUUCACUGCUCAUGGCAUCCAAAAAAGUUUCAGAUAAACCACGUCGCCAGAAAACAACAAUGGCACAGCUCUUGUCCAAUAACCGAACAUCAAAUUCUUCAGAGAAGACAGCAUGUAACUUGCACAACAAGCUCUUGAUCAUCCCCAACAUCGCAUUGUUAGAUACCAUAGCGUUGUCGGAAAUUUUCAGAAUGGAGCAGAGCUUUGCAAACAAAUAGCACAUCUUCACCACAUUAUGCCUUUGAAUGUUGCCUUCACUUUCUGUAGAUGACAACCCAAACAUUGUAUAUAGUAAGAGAAGAAGUUAGGUUUGCUCUGAAGUAAAAAAAUGGCAUAACGGACAGCAAUCGACACAAAAAAUCACAGGAAAACCAAGUAAAACCCACAAGAGCAACAAAUAUGUGAAUUACUGCACUCUCUUCAACUGUGCUACGCGAAAACUAAGGGUAAUAUCGAUACCUUGAGGCAAAAUUUCCAUAUCAAUGGCUGCGAAGUAAUGAUUAUUCAAGUACGAAAUAGCUGCAGGAAUAUUGGUCAUCCUUCUUAGAGGGCCAAUAUUCUUCAUCAGAUGGUUGACAUCAAGUAUGUGGGGAAAAACCGAGUGCAAGGAACCCAUGAACUCGUCUACAUUAGUCGGGAGGGGAGAGAGAAACUCUGAAUGAAUAACUGAAAUCUGCAUAACGCAAAAUUAAACAGUAAGUUGAGAAACUAGAAAAAGAACAGAAGCCAAGUCAAGGGCAUUAAAACUCAUAGAUGUUUAUUAAACAGAGAUACACCGUUAAGGGAAUUGUGGGAGACAACAGGUUUCUGUGAAGCAGAAAUCAAAUCGAUCACCUCUUGAAAUCCACGAACUCUCUUGUUUUGUUCCUCCUCAAGGUUUUGGAGCUCUCUCUGUAAGUAAAACAUUCAAGCCAAAUGUUGUGUUACAAAAAGCCCGAUAAUGCAAAAUAGAAAGACUUGAAAAUCACGUCACUACCUCAAACCAGUCCUUGUCUGCUGUAGAACUUGUCAAAACAGCACGAACAGCCUGAGUUCCUCCUCCCUUUGCUGGGAUUAUUAAAGGAACAAGUUCAUCAGAGAACUCUUUCAACAUCUGCAACCAAUGAAAAAAAAAUCAUUUGAUCAGAUAAAAUCUGAUUAAAUAUACCGGCACCAGAAAAAAGGAUUAAAAACAACAACGGGUCAACAUACAUACCUCCAGAGCAAGCUGCACUUGACGUUCACUUCAAACAUCUAGAUUCAUGCCGGGUCUGUUCCGUAAAUUUCACUUCCCAUUACAAUUUUUCUCAAGGAACUCAGCAGAGCAUCUGCAAAAUGGAAAGCCAAAACACUUUUUAACAGAAAAUAUAACAAAAUCGAAUGAAAGAUAGGGGAUGUAAGUAGAAUCUAGAACCCUUUUUCUGUCUUUACCAUCUUUCUUUGUGUUUUUACAUGCACUUUUCCAAUGAUUAACUCGCAAUUUAAUUCUUUCAACAAAAACCGUAUCAGCAACAGUAUGAGUCGAAGAAGAGUUCAUUACAUAGCUACUGGUAGUCGGAUUCCCUAUCCGAGCUUUAGCCGCAGAUUCUUGUGCUCCAGACAAGUAUGAAAUACCCGUCUCAUUACAAAACACAAAAUCUCAAUACAACAGCAAAGUUACAGACUUGUAAUGUCCCAAAUGGUACACUUUCACCAAUGCAUCGAGCCAAAGUUUUUAGUUUUCGUAAUUUCUGUUCUAGUUUUCGAAAAAAUAUUCACUUGGGUAAAAUCAUAUUCCACAAGAAAUUAGGGAGUAAAAUGAAAUAUCAAAACUUGACAGGGGAGGCUUACCAUUAUAUAUGCAGGCAUUGAAAUCAAAACCUUCUUCCGCCAUGGAAGUCAAAUGUGAUGUUUGAACUGAUCAACAAACCCAUCAUCAAUUCAUCCCUUGGGAACAAGACAAAGUUGUAUCUGCACCAAAAUCAACAAACCCAUCAUCAAAUUCCAUUCUAUAUAUGUGUAUGUAUAUGUAUGUAUAGGUAUAGUGAAAGCGUACGGACGGGUAAGGAGUAAGCUUCGAGGCUCUGAGAGUGUAAGGGCAGGCUGCGAACUGGAGGAGCUGGAAGCGCUCAGCGGCGUACUUGGCCUUGAAAUACGAAGUGUCGGCGGUGUCGAAGGGCUGAGGGUGGCGCCACGGCGCACGAUAUGACCCCGUUUUCUGCAGCGAGAAGGCCACGAAGUCGGAGCUGGACAGGUGGUCCUUGAACUCUCCAGGGACUCGGAAAAGUUGGACUUCGUCACUUCCUUCACGGCCCAUUUCUUCAAGACAUUGGUGGGGGUGGUGGUGGUGGUGGUGGUGGGGGUGGUGGUGGUGGUGGUGGUGGUGGUGGUGCUGAGGAAACGGCGUCGUAUAAACGGAGGCAGAGACGCCAUGGUUUAACUUAUCUCCAGCUUGACCUCAGCCGCUACCUGUAUAAUGCGUUUUUCAAUUUUCAGUUGCCGAACAAUAGGCUUACGACUUGUCGUUGCUUUCCUCUCCUUGUGAUUUUUUUUAUUUUAUUUUUUAUUUUACAAACGAUAUUAUUUCCAAUAAGGGGAUAGAGAGUUGACUACACGGCUACGCUUCAUAAUGGGCUAGCAAUAGUGUGGUUCAAAGUCGCAUUUGGCGAGAAUCGAACCAAAAAUCUUUCACUUACAUGUGGAUAGGAAUAUCACUAUACUGUAGUACUAAUUACUAAGUGAUCAUUUCCUUCUAAUUUUAGGUUUAGAUUGUUUCAUGUAGAUCUGUCGAUAGAUCGAAUUUUAACCUAGAUUCAAUUGAAAUCAAACGUAAUUAAUAUAGUAUGGAUUGUAGUUUUCAAUCUAAUUAUUUGAUUACAAAUGAAUUUGGAUAUGUAUAGAGGUUGACCCCACUGGAUCAUUUAUAACAUAUUAUAUUAUUUGUAUUAGGGUCUUGGAUUGAGUAAUUACUUUUCUUGUUUGUAUUUGGGCUUUGGAUUGAGAAAGUGAACCGAGACGGUCAUGUGAAUCAAGUCACAAGAAAGAACAAUGAAAUGGCAUGUUGCUGAAAAAAGUAAAGACUAUGGAGAAGAUUCAUUGUUGUCCAUGGAUAAAAUUCAACCAAAAAGAGGAAUGAAAAAAAAAUUUGAUGUCUAUAUUAGGAAUUGUUGACCCUAAAAGUGCAAAGCCUACGUGGGGCGUAAGUCGAGUAACUAUUGAACUAACUACUUCUUUCUUGUGAAUGCGAGCGUGCCACCUCACGACCAAGCUCGGUCGGGCGAGUAGAAUGGAUGUGGUGGUGGUGCUGAAUGCAGUACUGACUUAUGCAUUUGAGCAAUUACGGUCGAGGAUGGAACACCUCUAUGCCUAAGGUUCUCGAAGAAGACAAUGUUGCUUAAUUCACUACGAAGUUCAGGAUCUUCUGCAUCGGGUUUUGCUGCUUCAACUACAUUCGUAAAAAUAUUAGUGCACCAAAUCAGUAUCAAACUAUGUGGGAAAAGAUACUUAAAAAAUGCCUUUAUGGUGAAACGUGGUUCGGCUAUCUGAAUGCCGAAGUACAAAGUGACCUAAGAAUAACUAACCAUAGAACACUUCAUUUCGAUGAAAAGCUAAUGAAGUUAUGACGACCCGUCCCGAACUUUACCAAACAGAAGGGUAAUUUUGUAAUUUCACUAUGGUUGGGUUAAAUAUUUUGAAAUGCUGCUUUUGGAUCUUGUUUGGUGUGCCAUGUGGGGCCCACUUUCCUUUUUGGUCCCCUGGCCCAUUCUCCUUUCUCCUUCCUUCAUCCCGUGUGAACUCUCGGACCUCUUUCUUCUCUCUUCACUUUCUCUCGUUUUCUCCUAACCUUUCCGAGCCCUCUCUCUCCUCUACAACCUCUUCUCAUUUUCUUCCUCGAGCACAGCAACUGCAAACCUCACCAUCUAGACUGGAUGACCUCGAAACCUCAGGCUAAACAUCGUGGAACACCAACAAUGACGGAGUCACUGUUCAUCAACUUUUCCUGACGAGCUUCGACGUAGUUUGUGGUUCUUUCGAUGUUGGAAAGCUCCUAGAAACCCUUGGGAUGUGUUUUAAAGUUGGAUCGAGGCUUGUUGUAUGUUGUUUAAGCUUGUUGGACAUUGAAAUAACUCGGAGUUAGCUUUUCCUAGAUUUCGACAAGAACCCAUGACUUUCGAGGCGUUUUCCGGCCAAACCAUGACGAGUUAGCCGUUGGGCAAGGUACCAUUCUCUUCGGCUCGUCAAGAACUAUGAUUUUUGUUUUUUAAAUCACUCAAUUUCAUUAAGUAUUGAAGAAGUUAUGAACGUUUAAAGUUUACCCAGUUUCCGGCAAAUUCCCUAGUUUUCCCUCGGACCAGUCACUUUUCAGGCCAUUUUCCAGCCAUCUCUGGCAACCAUUGGGCUUCUAAAUAGGUAUAAUCUUGUUCUACACUUUCCUAUCUUCAUUUUUAUAUAUUAUGGGUCAAAUUUGGUUAAGAAAUGAUGAAGUUACGAAGCUUUGAAAUUUGCCCAAACUUCCGGCCAAAAUUCCAAUUUCCAGUGAGCUCCGGCAGCUUGACUUGGCUCGGCUCGGCUUGGCUGAGUCAGCCAUUGACUUCUCGGUCAGUGUUGACAAUUGACCUUGAUCGUUAAUCGUUGACCCGUCAACGUUGACUUUUUGGUUGACUUUUUUUUUAUUUCGGCCGGGAUCCCUCCUAGACUAAUUUUGAUGUUCUGAAUCCGUUUCUGACGCCUGUUUUCCCAAAUUCAAUCAUUUUAGUGUAGUUUUAUAAAUUGGUCCCUUUAUGUGCUUAGGUGAAAUUGUUUGUGGUGUUUCCAUCUUCUCCGGUUCGCAAGGUUCUUGGAUGACAAAGUAUCUGUGAGUGAACCCCUUCCAAAAUGCAUGAUUUUACUAUUACAAAAUGCAUACACGAAAAACAUGAUUUUAUGGAUACGUUUUAUGAAAUGUUUAUGAGAAAAUUGGAUUCAUGCUUUAUGAAAUAUCAUGCUUUAUCAGAUUUACAUUCUUUGAAUGAUUUAUGAUUAUAAAUUAUGAACAUAUUUUAUGAUAUGAUGUUUGAGCUACUGAGCUCCAAUGAGAUAUACUUUGGAAAGAUUAUGUUCAUUUUUUUAUAUGCUUAUCUAGUGUUUUCAUACGGUCUGCCUACGGGCGAAUGAUACUGCCUACGGGCAAAUGAUACUGCCUACGAGCGAAUGAUAUCUAUAUAUGGCUUCGGUCGGGUGAUGUAGAGGCCUACAGGCGAAUGAUAUCUAUAUAUGACUUCGAUUGGGUGAUGUAGGGGCCUAUGGGUGAAUAAAGAGUUAUAUAUGUCUUCGGGCGAAUGAAGAUUUAUAUAUGGCUUCGGUCUAAUGAUGUAAGGGCCUACGGGCAAAUAAAGGCCUUCAGGUGAUUUUGAUACCACUACUAUGCACACUGUAUAUGAUAUAUGUUUUAUGAAGUUUUUAUGGCAUGCUAGGGCUUUCGAAAAACCUAUCACAUAUUAUGCUAUUGAGUUUUCAUAUACUUUGGGGGUUAGUACGUUAAUGAAUAACUGUUUUAUUAUUACUUAUAUAUAAACUUGGUCCACUCAUGUUUUGUUUCGCGCCCCUUCAGGACUUAUAAUUGAGGCGUACAAUCAUGGCAUCAAGGCACUCCCACAUCGGCAUUUUCUAGUCCUCUCGAUGUAGGACUCAUCCCUUUGUUCGUUCAAUUUUAUAUUAUUCCUUUUAAUGUUCUUGAUUAGUUGUAUGCUCUAAACACGUUCCACAAUUGCAUAUUCAUUAUAGUUUAAUUUACGAGUUUAAUUUAUGUUCGUUCUUUCUUCAUAGUUCUCAUGCAUGUUAGUAUGGCUUCGUCACCUUCUGGUGUCGGCCAGCACGUGCCUACCCUGGUGUUUGAAGUAUAUCAGGGUUGGGCUUGUCAAUUUGGUAUCAGAGCGUGGUUUGUUCAGAGCAUACUUAGGAUCUUCUGUUACUGUAGUAGUGUGUCGGUCUUGACAUCAUUUGGAUGUCACGACUUCUGGUUUUGGUGCCAUUCAGCGCAGUUGUGCAAACCUUUUUCGUGUUGGGAUUGUGCCUCAUCGGUGACGAAAUGGAUUGUUGGACGAUUUUCAACAUCGAACCGAUAUUCUACAACAUGCGUUCCCUAGGAAUUGCGGCAAAGUCAGUUUUACAUUGAAGUGACGUGAAUUAGAAAUCUCAAUAAGAGGAAGUCCGGUUAAGACUAGCUGAAAAUCUGAAAUGGCGAUGCCACUCUGCAACAUGUGUUCCUCAAGAAUUGCGGGCAGAGUCGGAUUUACAUAUGAGUGUUGGGAAACGGAAAAAUCUUAGUGGUAUAAGUUGGAUGAGACCAACUGGAGUGUUCUGAAACGGUGAUGUUACUCUACGACAUGCGUUCCCUAGGAAUGGUGGGCAAAGUCAUAUCUUUAUGGAAAUUGCUCGAAACAUCGAAGUUCGUGUUGGAGAAAGCGGGUAAGCGCUAGUCGUGUGCAAAGUUUAGCAAGUGUUAGUUUGGUGGGAUCAAAUCUUUGUUCUUGGACUCUUUCCCACUAAGGAAAUUAGUGUGGACCCUCAAAACAAUUCUCAGCUAUUGUUCUAUCGAUAAUCUUCUUGCUUACUCUAACAACGAGGUCAAGUUCAAUAAACACCGAUAGUUAGCCUUACACCAUAUUCUUCGAGCGUUGUUUUUGUUUAGAUUAGAUACUUUUCUUGAGAGACUCUUUUAUAGCAGACAUUAUUCUUAUCAAUUUCCAAAAAGGGUUGCGACUGUUGGAAAUUGAAAAUCCUCACAAAGUGUGUGAAAUGCGAAUUACCCUUGAUCUUAUCACAUUCUAUCAGCAGUUCUUAACGAUUCCUUGAGCUUGGCCCUAUUUCCUUUUUUGCUAAGAAACCAGUCAAUUUUGUUGUGAUGCUGACGAUGAAUGAAGUUUCUGACAACAGGGUAUUGUCUCAUCUGAUCGUAGUUCUUACACUUUUUGAAUUCUGCGAUGGUAUAUUAUUAAUGUUUGGCUGCAUGCUGAUGCAACAUGAUUAAGUUACGUUUGUGCCUCUUGACAGUUGGAACCGUAUGAAGUGAACCAUCUUAUCUUUGACCUUGAGCCAAUGGUUACAAUCUAACUUGAAAACCUAAUGAAACCUUUUCUUUGUGGAAAUCCUUGUGGGACGAAGGUUGGGAAAGAAACUUUUUGGUGUUUUGAACAUCAUCUUACUCAUGCUCCCGUCCCUACUUUUCUUGACGUUGUUGGUGAGUUUUAAGUCUCUUAUUUUGCAUCGUUUCUGACCAAAUGAGUUAUAGUGUGUUCUGACAUAGAAAUAAUUGAGGUUGAGACAGAAGAAGUGGAUGGAACUCAUCGGUGAUUUUGAUUGCACUUUUGAGUACCAUCAUGGUCAAGCAAUUGUCGUAGCUGAAGCUCUUAAUCAGAAACCCCAUAGACAGCUUACCUUAAUCUAAGUUAUCCAUGUCUCACUAUCGUUUUCUCUUCGUGGAAUUGGAACUCUGUUGAUACGAAACAAGUUGCUUUUUCCUAAUGGCGAUGAAGUUGGAAAAAGGAAAAUUUUUGGUGAAGCUCAUGUUUCAGCGUAUGCCAUGUAUACUGGCAGUAUUAAAUUGUACCACUGUUUUCGUCCACUAUAUCACUGGUAUUGUAUGAAUGGGAUAUCGCCGAAUAUGUGAGUAAAUGUUUGUUUUACUGGUAAGUGGAAGCGGUAAGAUGGAAGCCAUCGGCUUAUCUCAAUUUCUUUCUAUUCCUGUUUGGAGGUGGGAAGAAAUUUCCCAGGGUCGUUCUUUUUAGGUUGUCAGGGACCCAUUGAGGAUACUAAUAGGAAUAGGUGAAUGUCACCAUAAUUUUCCUAUACAAACCACCUUGUACACAUGGAGACUAUGAUGACGUUUCGGUAUUGUUACCAACUCAAUCAACAUACUAUCUACCAAUUUUUUAGGACUAUACUUUUGACCACUUGGCAUAAUUCUUCAUUCUAGACUUUGUCUGACUGACGUCGCGAUAAACAUCGAUUUUGACCGAAAUCCCAGAUUCACCUCCUGGUAUUAGAAAACAUUCUAGUCAACGUUGGGUUCACACUUACCCUACGACACUUUGUAUAUUUUCCUUCGUAUCAUUUCUAAAGCAAUGAGACUAUUCAGGAAGACCACUCAGAUCUGAAAGUUUUAGUCGAAACCAUCAGUCAUUCAAUCACCCUUUAACAUACUACCGAGCGAAUCAUUACCAUUAGUGAUUGAAUAUCUCUAAGGUUAUCGUUGUAACAAGUUGUUGUGAAUUUUGGAGUGGGAAAAAGUCCGAGUAGAACACCAACAAUGACAGAGUCACUAUUCAUCAACAUAUCUUGACGAGCUCCGACGUAGUUCAUGGUUCUUUCGACGUUGGUAAGCUCCUAUAAACCCUUGAGAUGUGUUUUAAAGUUAGAUCGAGGCUUGUUGUAUGUUGUUUAAGCUUGUUGGACGUUGAAAUAACUCGGAGUAAGCUUUUCCCAGAUUCCGACAAGAACUCGUGACUUUCGAGGCGUUUUCAGGCCAAAACCACAAUAAGUUAGCCAUCGUGCAAGGUACCAUUCUCUUUGUCUCAUCGAGAACUAUGAUUUUUGUUUUUGGAAUCACUCAAUCUCAUUGAGUAUUGAAAAAGUUAUGAACAUUUAAAGUUUACCCAGUUUCCGGCGAGUUCCCCAGUUUUCCCACAGACCAAUCACCUUUUCAGGCCAUUUUCUGGCCAUCUUUAGCAACCAUUGGGCUUCCAAAUAGUUAUAAUCUUGUUCUACACUUUCCUAUCUUCAUUUUUAUAUAUUAUAGGUCGAAUUUGGUUAAGAAACGAUGAAGUUACGAAGCUUUGAAAUUUACCCAAACUUCCAGCCAAAAUUUCAGUUUCCGGUGAGCUUCGACGGCUUAACUUGACUUGGCUCGACUUUGCUAAGUCAGCCGUUGACUUCUCUAUCAGCGUUGACCAUUGACCAGUCAACGUUGACUUUUGGGUUAACUUUUUCAGAUUUCGAUCGGGACCUCUCCUAAACUAAUUUAGACGUCCUAAAUCCGUUUCAUACGUCCGUUUUCCCAAAUUCAAUCGUUUUAGUAUAGUUUUAUAAAUUGGUCUCUUUAUGUGCUUAGGUGCAAUUGUUUGUGGCGUUUCCGUCUUCUCUAGUUCGCACAGCUCUUCGACGGCGAAGUAUCUGUGAAUAGACCCCUUCCAAAAUGCAUGAUUUUUCUAUUACAAAAUUCAUACAUGAAAAGCAUGAUUUUAUGGAUACGUUUUAUGAAACAUUUAUGAGAAAAUUGGAUUCAUGCUUUAUCAGAUUUACAUUCUUUGAAUGAUUUAUGAUUAUAUAUUAUGAACAUGUUUUAUGAUAUGAUGUUUGAGCUACUGAGCUCUUAUAAGAUAUACUUUGGAAAGCUUAUGUUCAUGUUUUUAUAUGCUUAUCUAUUGGUUAUUCAUACGAUCUGCCUACUGGCGAAUGGUACUACUUAUGGGCAAAUGAUACUGCCUACGAGCGAAUGAUAUCUAUAUAUGGCUUCGAUUGGGUGAUGUAGGGGCCUACGGGUGAAUGAAGAGUUCUAUAUGUCUUCGAGCGAAUGAAGAUUUAUAUAUGACUUCGGUCGGGUGAUGUAGGGGCCUACCGGCGAAUGAAGGCCUUCGGGCGAUUUUGAUAGCACUACUAAGCACACUAUAUAUGAUAUAUGUUUUAUGAAGUUUUUAUGGCAUGCUAGAGUUUUCAGAAAACCUAUUACAUAUUAUGUUAUUGAGUUUUCAUAUACUUUAGGGAUUAGUACGUUAAUGAAUAACUGUUUUAGUAUUACUUAUAUAUAAACUUGGUCCACUCAUGUUUUGUUUUGCACCCCCUCAGGACUUAGAAUCAAGGUGUACAAUCUCGGCAUCAAGGCACUCCCGCAUCGGCAUCUUCGAGUCCUCUCGAUGUAGGACUCAUCCCUUUGUUCGUUCAAUUUUAUAUUAUUCCUUUUAGUGUUCUUGAUUAGUUGUAUGCUCUAAACACAUUCCACAAUUGCAUAUUCAUUAUAGUUAAAUUUACGAGUUUAAUUUAUGUUUGUUCUUUCUUCAUAGUUCUCAUGCAUGUUAGUAUGGCUUCGUCACCUUCGGGUGUCGGUCAACACGUGCCUACCCUGGUGGUUGGAGGAUAUCAAGGUCAGGCAUGUCAGAAUUGACCUCUUUGGGCUAAAGAAUUGAGAAUUCUUCGUUGAAAGAGACUUGUAUAGAUAAUCAACCAACCAGAAGCAGUCCUAUUUACUUGUCCAAACUAAAGAUGUUACUAAAUCGCUUGAUUCUACGACUCUAGUGUUGUAUACUUAUCUAACAUGAAGAUGUCACCUUUAUUUUAAGCCCAAAUAGAAAUAAAAUUACAUGUUGACCUCAAACAAUUGCCUUGUGCCGCACGUGACCGAGAUGAAUGAAAUUUGAAUGAAAAAUUUUAAAAAUUAAAUGCCAGUAUAGAAAUUGACCAAUUAUAAAAGUUAGGUAAUUAGCUAAAAUUAAAUUCAAAAGGGAAAUUGAUCCAAUUAUGAAAAUUCAAAAUAAUUGGCUAAAAAUAAAGUUCAUGGGAAAACUGACAGCUUCUUACAAUUUUGUGGGGGCACAAAUACCUCUUGGUUUUUCAAUCUUCAAAUGCCAAAUUACGCUUACUAACUUGUCGUUGUUUUUCCUACUUAAGCCCAAACACAACAAACAUUUGGGGCCAAGAAAACGAGCGGUGGCCCAGUAUUAUCAGGUAAUAUAUGAACCAGUCACGUGACACGUGGUCGUUGCAGAUCGCGAGCCAUCGUCCCCCAAUUGCAAUUGAUUAGGGCAUUUUGGAGUGGAAGCUUUAUAUAUGUGAUACUAUCAAAUCCACAGCGAGCCGAGCGACUGCGUCUCCAGCUAUAAAUCCGGCAGACCUUCUAUCGUCGCUCAAAACACUCAUCGACCUCCUCCGUCACCUCAUCCGUCAAAACGUCCGUUAAACCCUCGUCGGCUUCAUCUGCUCUCAUCGAGGUUUGAGAUUUUUCUCCACAGCCGCCGUUUAUUUUAUUUGUUUGCCGAAUCGUUUUUUUUUUUUAGCUCGUUUAAAGCAGCAAUCUUUUGCUGCAAUCGAACAUGAAAUGGAAAUGUUUCUGGUUUUUAUUUAUUACUGGAAUAUCUCAGAUGGAAAGAGAACCGUCCAAGUCCCGUUCGAAGGUGUCAAUGGAGUUGGACAGAAUUAGCAACUUACCAAGUGACGUUAUAAACAGAAUUUUGUCACAUUUGCCGAUUAGGGAAGCAGUUAGAACAAGUGUUUUAUCAAGCAAGUGGAGGAACAAAUCGGCUAUGCUUUCUCAUCUUUUGUUUGAUGAUCGGUGCACCUCGGAUCAAAACCCUACAACCUUUACAGGCAUUGUUGAUCAUGUACUCUUGGGUCACAUUAGCCCCAUAUACAGGUUCAGGAUCAUUCAUUCCCGACCUCAAGUCUGUAGAGAUAUUGAUCGAUGGAUUCUUCAUCUGUCAAGAAACUCUAUCAAAGAGUUGUUGCUUAAUAUCAAAUGUAGUGGGCAUCGCCACAAGAUGCCUUCAUGUUUGUUUUCUUGUCAAGAUCUCAUUUAUUUAGUGUUGUAUGAUUGUUUGCUACAACCUCCAUCCAAGUUCCAAGGAUUCAGGAGUUUGAAGACUUGUCGUCUUUUUAAUGUUACCCUGGACCAAGAUGUGCUUGAGAAUCUGAUUGUCUGCUGUCCUCUCCUUGAGAGAUUAACAUUGUGGCACUGUGAUGCAUUAACCCGGUUCAAGAUUGAUGCACCGAAUCUCAAAUUCCUUCAUUUUAAAGGCGUGCUUGAGGAUGUUAGUCUUGUGAAUACCUUAAAACUGGCCGAAGUUCACAUUAGUUUGACUGCUGAUGUUGCAAAUGACCAAAGACGGACUGCUGGAAGUUGUAGCAAUUUGCUCAAUUUUUUUGUUCAUCUGCCUCAUAUUCGAUGUCUUCGUGUCAAAUCUAACUUUUUGAAGGUAAUGGUUUUUGUGGCUUCAUUCUUUCAGUCAAUAAUCAGAUUUUGUGGCAAUCAGAAGUUGACUGUAUUUUCAAUCUUCUGUUUUCUGAACCUUUCUGUUCCAGUAUUUGGCUGUCGGAGUCUUGCCAGGAAAGCUACCUCAACCGUGUCUAUAUCUGAAUUUUUUUUCUAUACAUUUAAGCUUCAACGAUCCGAAGGAGAUUUUAACUGUUUUAUGUCUUCUGAGAAGCUUCCCUGCUCUACAGGAACUUGAAAUUUCAGUGAGUUUGUUGUAUUAUGUUGAUGCAUGCAUAUCCUGGUGUUCAAUUAAGAAUGUCAACCCAACUCUCUACACUAAUUGUAUUUUACUGUUUAGAGAGCUAUUUUAUGUGAUGUUCAAGCAUCUGAUGAUAUAGACUUAUGCAGGCCUUGAAUGAGUAUGAGGGUGCUGAGGGAGAAGUGAACUACGGGUUAGACAACAACCAGAAUUGCCAAUUGACCAAACUGCGAAUUGUCAAAAUAACCGGCAUCUAUGGUGACAAAGCUGAACUAGAUUUCAUCAGGUUUUUGCUUUCAAGUUCACCUGUGCUCGAGAAGAUGACUGUGAAGCCUGCUACUGCUAGAGAUUUUCAACUAGUAAAAAUGUUGCUCCAGUUUAAGCGUGUCUCGGAGAAUGCAGAGAUAUUCUACUUAGACCCUUGAUUCCUCAAUGAAACAUGUUUGGCAG
This 13715-nucleotide long non-coding RNA is filed under the name Malus domestica (apple). RNAcentral's name for it is "long non-coding RNA (MDOM_LNC004952)". Lineage: Eukaryota; Viridiplantae; Streptophyta; Magnoliopsida; Rosales; Rosaceae. The record is from RNAcentral.